This 290-nucleotide unclassified non-coding RNA is filed under the name Hevea brasiliensis (rubber tree). The record is from RNAcentral. Lineage: Eukaryota; Viridiplantae; Streptophyta; Magnoliopsida; Malpighiales; Euphorbiaceae.
CUCGGAAAAGGGCUCAGCUGGCUCUUGUGUGAGUCACUUCUGUAUCUUUGGAGUCAUGGACCAUUAGCAGAAGAUUAGCCAAUUUAGUAGGGGGUAGAUGCAACAAUGUGAUCAAAUCUAAUAUUAGCUUUUACGGCUUUGUUCACUUGGCUAGUACUGCAGUUGGCAUCUUUUAUCUUAUAUGAAGUGGUUAAUGUUAUGAAUCUUUUGUAGUUCCAAUCUUCUCUACUUUCUUAUGACUUGUUUUUGUCUCUUUUGGCUUAUUAAUCGAGAUCUUUUAUUAAUGUUCA